This 463-nucleotide ribosomal RNA is filed under the name uncultured bacterium. RNAcentral's name for it is "partial 16S ribosomal RNA". It matches the Rfam family "Bacterial small subunit ribosomal RNA", at positions 28 to 507 of the family's 1533-position model. The record is from RNAcentral.
GACGAACGCUGGCGGCGUGCUUAACACAUGCAAGUCGAACGGAAAGGCCUUUUCGGAGGUACUCGAGUGGCGAACGGGUGAGUAACACGUGGGUGAUCUGCCCUGCACUCUGGGAUAAGCCUGGGAAACUGGGUCUAAUACCGGAUAGGACCGCACUUUAGUGUGUGUGGUGGAAAGUUUUUUCGGUGUAGGAUGGGCCCGCGGCCUAUAAGCUUGUUGGUGGGGUAGUGGCCUACCAAGGCGGUGACGGGUAGCCGGACUGAGAGGUUGGUCGGCCACAUUGGGACUGAGAUACGGCCCAGACUCCUACGGGAGGCAGCAGUGGGGAAUAUUGCACAAUGGGCGGAAGCCUGAUGCAGCAACGCCGCGUGCGGGAUGACGGCCUUCGGGUUGUAAACCGCUUUCAGCAGGGGCGAAGCUUGUUGUGACGGUACCUGGAGAAGAAGCACCGGCUAACUACGUG